This 635-nucleotide ribosomal RNA is filed under the name Cyathocephalus truncatus. RNAcentral's name for it is "partial 28S ribosomal RNA". Lineage: Eukaryota; Metazoa; Platyhelminthes; Cestoda; Spathebothriidea; Acrobothriidae. The record is from RNAcentral.
GUAAACAGUACGUGAAACCGCAUAGAGGUAAACGGGUGGCGUCAAGCUGCAAGCCCGGAGGAUUCAGUCAGUCAGGAUUUUGUGUGUGCCUGUGGCACCUAUCAGUCGGAGUGAGAUAGAGUAGUCUGCCAGGUAAUGGCAGGCCCAGUCGCAAGACUGGGAUUUGUGUACCGGGCUGUGACCGGAGCAAGCUAUUCGUCUAGAGGACUGCCUGGCUGAUGCACUUCCUCUGUACGGUGAACACCACGACCGGUGGUACUGCCAGUCUGCCAUGGCCAAGUCGUGUUGGGUCGGCAUCUGAUGUCGGCUUAGCAUUGAUGACAUGCAAAUUCAGUGGACGGUGUGAGAGUGUUUACGCAUUCUUGCACGUUAUCGGACACUGGUUGUGAACGGGUGUGCCUGUCGAUUGCUGUAAUCGUCGAUGGUGACCUGGUGGGCUGUGGUGGUAUGAAUAACUGUGCAGGGCACUGGAGUUAUCGGUCUCUAGACUGACUUGCAUACGCUAUACAGGCGGUUUCGGAGGCAUUGUUGCAGCCUGCCGGUGUUUGGGUUUGAUUGUCGUGUCACCUGCUUAAGUGGGUCCGGCAGUAGCCUGAGCUCGGUUGGAGUUGUUGACAGUGUUUCCUGUGUGAGUU